AAACGGGUGGUAAUGCCGGAUGCUCCAGUUGAUCGCAUGGUCUUCUGGGAAAGCUUUCGCGGUAUGGGAUGGGGUCGCGUCCUAUCAGCUUGACGGCGGGGUAACGGCCCACCGUGGCUUCGACGGGUAGCCGGCCUGAGAGGGCGACCGGCCACAUUGGGACUGAGAUACGGCCCAGACUCCUACGGGAGGCAGCAGUGGGGAAUAUUGCACAAUGGGCGCAAGCCUGAUGCAGCGACGCCGCGUGAGGGAUGGAGGCCUUCGGGUUGUAAACCUCUUUUAUCGGGGAGCAAGCGAGAGUGAGUUUACCCGUUGAAUAAGCACCGGCUAACUACGUGCCAGCAGCCGCGGUAAUACGUAGGGUGCAAGCGUUAUCCGGAAUUAUUGGGCGUAAAGGGCUCGUAGGCGGUUCGUCGCGUCCGGUGUGAAAGUCCAUCGCUUAACGGUGGAUCCGCGCCGGGUACGGGCGGGCUUGAGUGCGGUAGGGGAGACUGGAAUUCCCGGUGUAACGGUGGAAUGUGUAG
RNAcentral lists this ribosomal RNA (524 nucleotides) under Bifidobacterium longum subsp. suillum. RNAcentral's name for it is "bacterial SSU rRNA". It matches the Rfam family "Bacterial small subunit ribosomal RNA", at positions 154 to 693 of the family's 1533-position model. Lineage: Bacteria; Bacillati; Actinomycetota; Actinomycetes; Bifidobacteriales; Bifidobacteriaceae. The record is from RNAcentral.